Molecule: ribosomal RNA, 2895 nt
Filed under: Klebsiella pneumoniae
Lineage: Bacteria; Pseudomonadati; Pseudomonadota; Gammaproteobacteria; Enterobacterales; Enterobacteriaceae
Description: bacterial LSU rRNA
Rfam family: Bacterial large subunit ribosomal RNA
Source: RNAcentral
UUAAGCGACUAAGCGUACACGGUGGAUGCCCUGGCAGUCAGAGGCGAUGAAGGACGUGCUAAUCUGCGAAAAGCGUCGGUAAGGUGAUAUGAACCGUUAUAACCGGCGAUGUCCGAAUGGGGAAACCCAGUGCAAUUCGUUGCACUAUCGUUAACUGAAUACAUAGGUUAACGAGGCGAACCGGGGGAACUGAAACAUCUAAGUACCCCGAGGAAAAGAAAUCAACCGAGAUUCCCCCAGUAGCGGCGAGCGAACGGGGAGCAGCCCAGAGUCUGAAUCAGCUUGUGUGUUAGUGGAACGGUCUGGAAAGUCCGACGGUACAGGGUGAUAGUCCCGUACACCAAAAUGCACAGGCUGUGAACUCGAAGAGUAGGGCGGGACACGUGGUAUCCUGUCUGAAUAUGGGGGGACCAUCCUCCAAGGCUAAAUACUCCUGACUGACCGAUAGUGAACCAGUACCGUGAGGGAAAGGCGAAAAGAACCCCGGCGAGGGGAGUGAAAAAGAACCUGAAACCGUGUACGUACAAGCAGUGGGAGCACCUUCGGGUGUGACUGCGUACCUUUUGUAUAAUGGGUCAGCGACUUAUAUUCUGUAGCAAGGUUAACCGUAUAGGGGAGCCGCAGGGAAACCGAGUCUUAACUGGGCGUUAAGUUGCAGGGUAUAGACCCGAAACCCGGUGAUCUAGCCAUGGGCAGGUUGAAGGUUGGGUAACACUAACUGGAGGACCGAACCGACUAAUGUUGAAAAAUUAGCGGAUGACUUGUGGCUGGGGGUGAAAGGCCAAUCAAACCGGGAGAUAGCUGGUUCUCCCGAAAGCUAUUUAGGUAGCGCCUCGUGAACUCAUCUUCGGGGGUAGAGCACUGUUUCGGCUAGGGGGUCAUCCCGACUUACCAACCCGAUGCAAACUACGAAUACCGAAGAAUGUUAUCACGGGAGACACACGGCGGGUGCUAACGUCCGUCGUGAAGAGGGAAACAACCCAGACCGCCAGCUAAGGUCCCAAAGUCAUGGUUAAGUGGGAAACGAUGUGGGAAGGCACAGACAGCCAGGAUGUUGGCUUAGAAGCAGCCAUCAUUUAAAGAAAGCGUAAUAGCUCACUGGUCGAGUCGGCCUGCGCGGAAGAUGUAACGGGGCUAAACCAUGCACCGAAGCUGCGGCAGCGACACUAUGUGUUGUUGGGUAGGGGAGCGUUCUGUAAGCCUGCGAAGGUGUGCUGUGAGGCAUGCUGGAGGUAUCAGAAGUGCGAAUGCUGACAUAAGUAACGAUAAAGCGGGUGAAAAGCCCGCUCGCCGGAAGACCAAGGGUUCCUGUCCAACGUUAAUCGGGGCAGGGUGAGUCGACCCCUAAGGCGAGGCCGAAAGGCGUAGUCGAUGGGAAACAGGUUAAUAUUCCUGUACUUGGUGUUACUGCGAAGGGGGGACGGAGAAGGCUAUGUUAGCCGGGCGACGGUUGUCCCGGUUUAAGCAUGUAGGCUGAUUGUCCAGGCAAAUCCGGAUAAUCAAGGCUGAGGUGUGAUGACGAGGCACUACGGUGCUGAAGUAACAAAUGCCCUGCUUCCAGGAAAAGCCUCUAAGCAUCAGGUAACAUCAAAUCGUACCCCAAACCGACACAGGUGGUCAGGUAGAGAAUACCAAGGCGCUUGAGAGAACUCGGGUGAAGGAACUAGGCAAAAUGGUGCCGUAACUUCGGGAGAAGGCACGCUGGUGUGUAGGUGAAGUCCCUGCGGAUGGAGCUGAGACCAGUCGAAGAUACCAGCUGGCUGCAACUGUUUAUUAAAAACACAGCACUGUGCAAACACGAAAGUGGACGUAUACGGUGUGACGCCUGCCCGGUGCCGGAAGGUUAAUUGAUGGGGUUAUCCGUAAGGAGAAGCUCUUGAUCGAAGCCCGGUAAACGGCGGCCGUAACUAUAACGGUCCUAAGGUAGCGAAAUUCCUUGUCGGGUAAGUUCCGACCUGCACGAAUGGCGUAAUGAUGGCCAGGCUGUCUCCACCCGAGACUCAGUGAAAUUGAACUCGCUGUGAAGAUGCAGUGUACCCGCGGCAAGACGGAAAGACCCCGUGAACCUUUACUAUAGCUUGACACUGAACAUUGAGCCUUGAUGUGUAGGAUAGGUGGGAGGCUUUGAAGCGUGGACGCCAGUCUGCGUGGAGCCAACCUUGAAAUACCACCCUUUAAUGUUUGAUGUUCUAACGUUGGCCCCUGACCGGGGUUGCGGACAGUGUCUGGUGGGUAGUUUGACUGGGGCGGUCUCCUCCCAAAGCGUAACGGAGGAGCACGCAGGUUAGCUAAUCGGUCGGACAUCAGGAGGUUAGUGCAAUGGCAUAAGCUAGCUUGACUGCGAGCGUGACGGCGCGAGCAGGUGCGAAAGCAGGUCAUAGUGAUCCGGUGGUUCUGAAUGGAAGGGCCAUCGCUCAACGGAUAAAAGGUACUCCGGGGAUAACAGGCUGAUACCGCCCAAGAGUUCAUAUCGACGGCGGUGUUUGGCACCUCGAUGUCGGCUCAUCACAUCCUGGGGCUGAAGUAGGUCCCAAGGGUAUGGCUGUUCGCCAUUUAAAGUGGUACGCGAGCUGGGUUUAGAACGUCGUGAGACAGUUCGGUCCCUAUCUGCCGUGGGCGCUGGAGAAUUGAGGGGGGCUGCUCCUAGUACGAGAGGACCGGAGUGGACGCAUCACUGGUGUUCGGGUUGUCAUGCCAAUGGCACUGCCCGGUAGCUAAAUGCGGAAGAGAUAAGUGCUGAAAGCAUCUAAGCACGAAACUUGCCCCGAGAUGAGUUCUCCCUGAGACUUUAAGUCUCCUGAAGGAACGUUAAAGACGAUGACGUUGAUAGGCCGGGUGUGUAAGCGCAGCGAUGCGUUGAGCUAACCGGUACUAAUGAACCGUGAGGCUUAACCU